This 747-nucleotide non-coding RNA is filed under the name Phyllidiopsis krempfi. The record is from RNAcentral. Lineage: Eukaryota; Metazoa; Mollusca; Gastropoda; Nudibranchia; Phyllidiidae.
CAAACUUUGUAAUGAUUAAAAGUUAGCUUAAGUUAAACUUAGCAUGGUAAUGUUGGUUUUAAAAAAAAUUAAGUUAAUCUAUUUUUUAUUAACCCAGCAAGAAGUAUUAAACUAUAUUAGCAAUAAUAAUUUAAUUCAGCUUAUAAAAUUGGACUAAUUAGGUGCCAGCAGUCGCGGUCAUACCUAUCAGUUAAGUUAACAUUUUUAGGUAAGCUUAAAAGAGAAAUUUUUAUAAUUAGGUGAAAUUACUAUAAAAAAAUAAUCUUAUACUUAAAUUUAAGCUUAAAUUCUAAUAAUAAACUAGGAUUAGAUACCCUAUUAUAUAGAACUAAAAUCUAGUACCUAAGCAUUAAGACUUUAUAGUUAAAACUUAAAUUACAUGGCGGCAGUUAAAAAUUUCAGGGGAACUUGCUAAAUAAAUGAUAACCCCCAAAAAAUUCUACUCUUAUUAUUAAUAUUAGAAGUUUGUAUAUCGCCGUCUUCAGUUCUCAUUUUAGAUGAGCCCAAAACCUUAAAUAUAAAAAAAGACAGGUUAUGAUGCAGCUAAUAUAAGAGUUAUAAAGUGAGUUACAAUAUAAAGUAAAUUUGGAAUUUUUUUGAAAAUAAAAAAAUUAAAGUGGACUUGAAAGUAAACAUCUUAAAUAAAGACUAGUUGAAUUAAAACUUUAACUGUGCACAAAUCGCCCGUCGCUUUCGUUGAAAAAUGAAAUAAGUCGUAACAUAGUAGAUGUACUGGAAAGUGUAUCU